This 1018-nucleotide ribosomal RNA is filed under the name Vamsapriya indica. RNAcentral's name for it is "SSU rRNA". It matches the Rfam family "Eukaryotic small subunit ribosomal RNA", at positions 74 to 1102 of the family's 1831-position model. The record is from RNAcentral. Lineage: Eukaryota; Fungi; Ascomycota; Sordariomycetes; Xylariales; Vamsapriyaceae.
UUAUACGGCGAAACUGCGAAUGGCUCAUUAAAUCAGUUAUCGUUUAUUUGAUAGUACCUUACUACUUGGAUACCUGUGGUAAUUCUAGAGCUAAUACAUGCUAAAAAUCCCGACUCACGGAGGGAUGUAUUUAUUAGAUUAAAAACCAAUGCCCUUCGGGGCUUUCUGGUGAUUCAUAAUAACUUCUCGAAUCGCAUGGCCUUGCGCCGGCGAUGGUUCAUUCAAAUUUCUGCCCUAUCAACUUUCGAUGGCAGGGUCUUGGCCUGCCAUGGUUACAACGGGUAACGGAGGGUUAGGGCUCGACCCCGGAGAAGGAGCCUGAGAAACGGCUACUACAUCCAAGGAAGGCAGCAGGCGCGCAAAUUACCCAAUCCCGAUACGGGGAGGUAGUGACAAUAAAUACUGAUACAGGGCUCUUUUGGGUCUUGUAAUUGGAAUGAGUACAAUUUAAAUCCCUUAACGAGGAACAAUUGGAGGGCAAGUCUGGUGCCAGCAGCCGCGGUAAUUCCAGCUCCAAUAGCGUAUAUUAAAGUUGUUGCAGUUAAAAAGCUCGUAGUUGAACCUUGGGCCUGGCUGGCCGGUCCGCCUCACCGCGUGCACUGGUUCGGCCGGGCCUUUCCCUCUGGGGAGCCCCAUGCCCUUCACUGGGUGUGGCGGGGAACCAGGACUUUUACUGUGAAAAAAUUAGAGUGUUCAAAGCAGGCCUAUGCUCGAAUACAUCAGCAUGGAAUAAUAGAAUAGGACGUGUGGUUCUAUUUUGUUGGUUUCUAGGACCGCCGUAAUGAUUAAUAGGGACAGUCGGGGGCAUCAGUAUUCAAUUGUCAGAGGUGAAAUUCUUGGAUUUAUUGAAGACUAACUACUGCGAAAGCAUUUGCCAAGGAUGUUUUCAUUAAUCAGGAACGAAAGUUAGGGGAUCGAAGACGAUCAGAUACCGUCGUAGUCUUAACCAUAAACUAUGCCGACUAGGGAUCGGACGAUGUUAUUUUUUGACUCGUUCGGCACCUUACGAGAAAUCAAA